CGUUGUUGAUCGGCAAGAUUGGUGGGAUCAAAUGCAAAGAGUGCUAGAUGGAGACGGAAUAUAGGGAAAAAGGAGGGUUAAGGCUUGAAGUCUCUGUCAUGGAAACUAGAGCUGCAGGAUUAAAGUUAAUUGACAGUAUCAAUAAAUAUUUCUUGGUACAUUUGAUUCAAAAGCAUCACUUGAUGUUCCGAAUCACCCAAUUUUGAACUUGAUUUACUACAUGCUAGUUGAGAUCAUGCCUUCAGCUUUAGUCCUUUUCAUCCUGCGCACAUUACCCCCAAAGAGGAUAUCAGUUCGGUAUCAUCUUGUCCAGUAACAACAGUGCUUUUGGGAUUUUUGUUUAGUCUUUGCCAUUGGCCAUGAUUGUGCUGGUUCUCUAGUUGGAUGCUAUUGAAGUUCGGCAGAUUCAGAGAAGCAAUAGUCCACCAGAUAUGUCAACCCCUGGGAAACACAGAAGCUACUUCUUGAGACUGAUAAUUUGGAUUUAUUUUUCUAGGCGCG
Long non-coding RNA from Prosopis cineraria, 501 nucleotides. RefSeq lists it as uncharacterized. The record is from RefSeq and is a predicted model, not a curated record. Lineage: Eukaryota; Viridiplantae; Streptophyta; Magnoliopsida; Fabales; Fabaceae. The transcript has 3 exons.